UGCCAUCAAUUGAAUGCUUCAUUUGAUAAUGUGUAUGAUACAUGCAAGAUUUUUUCAUCAUCACGAUAUCUAUUAAUAGUAAAUGCUUUCUUUAUCUCCAUAAGCUAAUUCUCAUCUACCAAAGGUUCCAUAAUCUACUUGUUCGAUAGAAAUAAUUUGUUAAAUUCAACAAUAUUACUUUAUUACUCUGGCUGCUUUCUAUGUCCU
This 207-nucleotide long non-coding RNA is filed under the name Elaeis guineensis (African oil palm). RNAcentral's name for it is "long non-coding RNA (EGUI_LNC062841)". The record is from RNAcentral. Lineage: Eukaryota; Viridiplantae; Streptophyta; Magnoliopsida; Arecales; Arecaceae.